GGGUGUGACGUCAGUCCUGAAGUCUCAGUCGUCGCCGCUUCUUCAUCCAAAA
RNAcentral lists this small RNA (52 nucleotides) under Arabidopsis thaliana (thale cress). RNAcentral's name for it is "ATSL137520". The record is from RNAcentral. Lineage: Eukaryota; Viridiplantae; Streptophyta; Magnoliopsida; Brassicales; Brassicaceae.